RNAcentral lists this transfer RNA (611 nucleotides) under uncultured Gammaproteobacteria bacterium. RNAcentral describes it as "partial contains 16S ribosomal RNA and 16S-23S ribosomal RNA intergenic spacer". The stretch from base 22 to 94 matches the Rfam family "tRNA". Lineage: Bacteria; Pseudomonadati; Pseudomonadota; Gammaproteobacteria. The record is from RNAcentral.
CAGUAUUUGCACUGUUUUCAAGGGGCCAUAGCUCAGCUGGGAGAGCGCUUGCCUUGCACGCAAGAGGUCGGGAGUUCGAUCCUCCCUGGCUCCACCACAUUGUUUUUGCUUUUGCAAAAAAAACUAAGUUUUCAUUUUUUUAAAAACUUAAAUAAAGUCAUACUGUGAUUUUAUUUAAGUUUUUAUGCCACACUUACGGGUGUGGAGCUCUUUAACAAUUUAAUACAUGAAGUAAAGUUUGUAAAUAUACAAUAUAACAACGCGAAGACUGUUGUGAUGACAGUUUUCAUUGGUGUAUUGCAUUGACACAACAAUUUCAAAAAAUAUGGAUUCUCAUCGGCGGUAUAAAAGCCGCCAAUGAAAUAAAAAAGAAUUCACCGAUUGUGAUUUAUCGCAAUUUGUGACUUCAAGGUGAAAUACGAAAUCAUAAAACACCAAGUUACAAGGCUUUGGAUUUUGUUUAUUUGUAAAGAGUUUUUGAGUUCUUGAAGAUAUUUAGUUUUUCUAAAUAACUAAUUGAACAAAGAAACAACAUAACAAAUAGAUAAAAGUUGAAGCCAUAACAGAUACUUUGGGGUUAUAUGGUCAAGUGAAUAAGUGCAUACGGUGGA